RNAcentral lists this ribosomal RNA (814 nucleotides) under uncultured bacterium. RNAcentral describes it as "bacterial SSU rRNA". It matches the Rfam family "Bacterial small subunit ribosomal RNA", at positions 563 to 1378 of the family's 1533-position model. The record is from RNAcentral.
AAGCGUGCGCAGGCGGUUUGUUAAGACAGAUGUGAAAUCCCCGGGCUUAACCUGGGAACUGCGUUUGUAACUGGCAAGCUAGAGUGUGGCAGAGGGGGGUAGAAUUCCAGGUGUAGCAGUGAAAUGCGUAGAUAUCUGGAGGAAUACCGAUGGCGAAGGCAGCCCCCUGGGUUAACACUGACGCUCAUGCACGAAAGCGUGGGGAGCAAACAGGAUUAGAUACCCUGGUAGUCCACGCCCUAAACUAUGUCAACUGGUUGUCGGGGGAGCAAUCCCUUGGUAACGAAGCUAACGCGUGAAGUUGACCGCCUGGGGAGUACGGCCACAAGGUUAAAACUCAAAGGAAUUGACGGGGACCCGCACAAGCGGUGGAUUAUGUGGAUUAAUUCGAUGCAACGCGAAAAACCUUACCUACCCUUGACAUGUACGGAAUCUCGCAGAGAUGUGAGAGUGCUCGAAAGAGAACCGUAACACAGGUGCUGCACGGCUGUCGUCAGCUCGUGUCGUGAGAUGUUGGGUUAAGUCCCGCAACGAGCGCAACCCUUGCCAUUAGUUGCUACAUUAAGUUGGGCACUCUAAUGGGACUGCCGGUGACAAACCGGAGGAAGGUGGGGAUGACGUCAAGUCCUCAUGGCCCUUAUGGGUAGGGCUUCACACGUAAUACAAUGGUAGGUACAGAGGGCAGCCAACCCGCGAGGGGGAGCUAAUCCCAGAAAGCCUAUCGUAGUCCGGACUGUAGUCUGCAACUCGACUACAUGAAGCCGGAAUCGCUAGUAAUCGCGGAUCAGCAUGUCGCGGUGAAUACGUUCCCGGG